AGUCAAUAGAUACCCUGGUAGUCCACGCCGUAAACGAUGAGUACUAGGUGUAGGAGGUAUCGACUCCUUCUGUGCCGCAGUUAACACAAUAAGUACUCCGCCUGGGAAGUACGGUCGCAAGAUUAAAACUCAAAGGAAUUGACGGGGGCCCGCACAAGCAGCGGAGCAUGUGGUUUAAUUCGAAGCAACGCGAAGAACCUUACCUAGACUUGACAUCCCCUGAAUAACGUAGAGAUACGCGAAGCCCUUCGGGGCAGGGAGACAGGUGGUGCAUGGUUGUCGUCAGCUCGUGUCGUGAGAUGUUGGGUUAAGUCCCGCAACGAGCGCAACCCUUAUCAUUAGUUGCUACCAUUUAGUUGAGCACUCUAGUGAGACUGCCCGGGUUAACCGGGAGGAAGGCGGGGAUGACGUCAAAUCAUCAUGCCCCUUAUGUCUAGGGCUACACACGUGCUACAAUGGUGAGAACAACGAGAUGCAAUACCGCGAGGUGGAGCAAAACUUCAAAACUCAUCUCAGUUCGGAUUGUAGGCUGAAAC
Molecule: ribosomal RNA, 536 nt
Filed under: uncultured bacterium
Lineage: Bacteria
Description: bacterial SSU rRNA
Rfam family: Bacterial small subunit ribosomal RNA
Source: RNAcentral